UGGGGAAUAUUGGACAAUGGGCGCAAGCCUGAUCCAGCAAUGCCGCGUGUGUGAAGAAGGCCUUCGGGUUGUAAAGCACUUUUAUCAGGAGCGAAACGCUGUCGGCUAAUACCCGGCGGAACUGACGGUACCUGAGGAAUAAGCACCGGCUAACUUCGUGCCAGCAGUCGCGGUAAUACGAAGGGUGCAAGCGUUAAUCGGAAUUACUGGGCGUAAAGCGUGCGUAGGCGGUUUCUUAAGUCUGCUGUGAAAUCCCCGGGCUCAACCUGGGAAUGGCAGUGGAUACUGGGAGGCUAGAGUGUGUCAGAGGGUGGUGGAAUUCCCGGUGUAGCGGUGAAAUGCGUAGAGAUCGGGAGGAACAUCAGUGGCGAAGGCGGCCACCUGGGACAACACUGACGCUGAGGCACGAAAGCGUGGGGAGCAAACAGGAUUAGAUACCCUGGUAGUCCACGCCCUAAACGAUGCGAACUGGAUGUUGGUCUCAACUCGGAGAUCAGUGUCGAAGCUAACGCGUUAAGUUCGCCGCCUGGGGAGUACGGUCGCAAGACU
RNAcentral lists this ribosomal RNA (549 nucleotides) under uncultured bacterium. RNAcentral describes it as "partial 16S ribosomal RNA". It matches the Rfam family "Bacterial small subunit ribosomal RNA", at positions 355 to 895 of the family's 1533-position model. The record is from RNAcentral.